GCCCCCAUAGCUCAAUAGGAAGAGCGGGUGGCUUCGGACCACCAGGUUGCAGGUUCGAGUCCUGCUGGGGGCU
RNAcentral lists this transfer RNA (73 nucleotides) under bacterium. Its description in RNAcentral is "tRNA-Arg". It matches the Rfam family "tRNA". Rfam says of the family: Transfer RNA (tRNA) molecules are approximately 80 nucleotides in length. Their secondary structure includes four short double-helical elements and three loops (D, anti-codon, and T loops). Further hydrogen bonds mediate the characteristic L-shaped molecular structure. tRNAs have two regions of fundamental functional importance: the anti-codon, which is responsible for specific mRNA codon recognition, and the 3' end, to which the tRNAs corresponding amino acid is attached (by aminoacyl-tRNA synthetases). tRNAs cope with the degeneracy of the genetic code in two manners: having more than one tRNA (with a specific anti-codon) for a particular amino acid; and 'wobble' base-pairing, i.e. permitting non-standard base-pairing at the 3rd anti-codon position. The record is from RNAcentral.